AUUUUUAAAAUGUUCAUGGAACUAAAUUUUCAUCAUUUACACAGCUUAUGCACUCCCUCAUGCUCAUGACAUGCUAAACUAUGUUAACAUUGUAUGUUCCCUUCUAAUUCUUAAUCUCUUUUUUCCAUUGAAAUGUCAUUGUUUGACAGUGUUUUCAGUCGCGAAGUGCCCAGAUUUCAACAUCAUCAUCCAAGUAUAACCACCCAACAAGUGCUGUCCACUUCCGAGCUGCAGAUCUCUUAGAUACACGUCCCAAGAACACAUCCAAUUUUGCAGCAAUGCUGCAUUGCCAUGCUGUUUUUAAUAAUUGCUGAACAAUAGUUUCGUGUCCUUAAUUAAGGUGGCAGCUGAUAACAUAGCAAUGGAAUGCAAAAUACUGGUAAAAAUGCAAUUCCCACACACGAGAAGGGUGUAUUUGUAAGAAGGGGUGAACAGAACAGGUGACCAAAAUUGACCAACUGAGUCAUUCACCCUAUAUAAGUGAGGGAUCACCUGAAGAGGACCCUGCCUGUUGUCCCUGUGAUCUAAGGCCUGGUUCCAGUGACUCCUGAAUCCAGGUCUGGUUUGCUGUGGAGUUCAGCCCAGGACUUCUGGGUGCCUGCCCUGCAGCUGCUGGAGCGGUGUGAAGUGGGGAAAUUCAAGGUUUCUCAUGGUCAGUAUGAUACUAAGACCCACACAAAGGAAGCACCAACUUCUUUCAUCUUUUCCGGCUAGAGGACAACACAAGGAAUGAAAACAUUGGAUAGAAUGUCUGAAAACAUUACACAGAAUUUUCUACUGGCUUUUUUGAUAACCUGAAUCAGGAUGACCAGUAAAGGAACUGGGAUUUGCUUGGAGCCAACAGACAAAUCUAGAACAACUCAUCAAGCUUGAAAUUAAAAGAUUUACAACCAUCACUCCCAGCAUUUUGACAGUCAUUCUAGCAAAUGAAUGACUGUAGUACUUAUUUCUGGGAGACAAAGGGGGCACAGUCUGGAACAUGUCAGAAGAGGUCCAGUUUCAUUUUAAAAAUUUCUGAAUUCAAAACCAAGCUCAUUUUGACUUGGAAAGAAACAGCUCUCUCAAAAUAUUUUGCCUGGUUCCAAUCACACUUAAUCACUGGUUGCCACAGAAAUCUUCCUCAGGGGGAGUGUUGGAGCUUUCUUUGCUUGAAAUGCUGUUGUCCCUCUCUUGCACUGCUCAACAGCACACAGACCAUUUAAAAUUUAUUUCUAAAACAAGAUUUGCUUUGUUUGGAUUCCUCCACUGACUAAAUUCAGACAUCACAGAAGCUGAUGCAACUGGGCUGACUCAUGACACCACUGAAUUUUUUCAAAGUCUAUUAUUAUAAAGUAAGAUCUACAUCAGUUUUAUCUCCCUGAGC
Molecule: long non-coding RNA, 1363 nt
Filed under: Columba livia (rock pigeon)
Lineage: Eukaryota; Metazoa; Chordata; Aves; Columbiformes; Columbidae
Description: partial uncharacterized LOC102096821, transcript variant X1
Source: RNAcentral